GUACGUGAAAUUUGCUUCUGAAAAAGGGUACAAACGCUGCUGACUGGUUGGCUGGCUUACCGUCUGACUUACAGCCCAACUGACCCGCCUACUGAGAGACUGAUUGACUAACUGUGUGGCUGGGGGGCUUUCUGACCUGACACUGGCUGACUGACUGACUGGUUGGAUGGCUAACAGACCAAAUGACUGGCUGAGUGACUUAGAGACUGAACAACUUGCUGGUGCGCUUUUACCAUAAAGCUACUAGUUGUAAGACUCUAGUGAAGUUCUUGAACACUGACAAACAAAUUGUAGUUACUGCUUGUGCCACUGCGGACAGCGAUUCAUCUAUAAAUCAGGACACAAUAUGCAAAGUUUACUGACUGUUUUUGUUACUUAGACGACUGUCUACCAUUAUAGGACCAUUACAGAAACUACGGGUCAUAAAAUUUUCAUUGGUCGACCCACUUUGUUGGGGGGAGGGGGGGACGGUAAAAUGUUUGGAUUGACGCCGUUAACCUUAAGAUAUUAGAGACCUAAAUUAGUCAGGACGGCAACGCCGAGGAAGACGUUUAUAAAAUUAUUUUCUUUCGCGAUUGGUUGGUGUGUUAACCGUCUCUUACGGCGCCACACCAACCUUACCUUCAGCAUGACAUACAUGUAAGUGAGCAGCGUUAAGUUCCAAGUGGAAACUUAAAUAAUUUGCAAGCAAGGUUUCCGUUCUCAGACCACGCAAAUUUUGGUGAUUUCACGUUCUUCUCUUGCAGAGGACGGCUUAGAAAUGUACAAAGUUUUAAGACGCACCUGCUGAGCUAUUGUUCUGCCCACUAGAUGAUGUCUAUCGUGAUUUAGAGUUUCAAGCUGAAAUUACAGGUUUCUUCGACCUCCUAAAGCUGAAUACCAAGGAACACGAUUAUCUUGAGCAUGGGAAAGACAAAUAUCAAUCUUGAAAAGAAAGCUAAAUUGGAUCGACCCCCGAUUCAGAUAAUAAAAUGAAACAUUGGGGUUCGAUCCGUCCACGAUCCCCCACCACACCUGUCUCUAUUAGACAGUUUAGAACAGUUAUCUGCCUUGGAAGGAAAUAAAAAACGAUUCCCUGUUCACCAUCUAACACCACACCCGCCACUUUUAAACAAUUUCCUUGACUCUUGGUAAGAGUCAUCAACCUUGUGAUACAAACAUCAUACAAACAGCACAGCAUUACAGUACAAUCUUUCAAUAUAUAUUACAAUCUUUUUCUCACAUUCUCAUACUACACUAAUAUUACAAUAGUUUUAAUAAAGUUGUUUUUACCCAUCCGACCUCCCCCGCCGCACCCACCUCCCGCAAACAGUUUUCUGAUGUAUUUGUAAAAGUUGUCUACCUUAUGGGAGUAACGUAUAUUUUCAAACGCAUGCGUUUUUUCUGAACCAAAUAUCUGUCUUAAUACACAUGCGCAAGAUAGCCAGCUUUAAUAAAUACUUAAGAAACAGUAUGAGACGGGACGGUGGCGGAUCGGACCCCAAAUUUUACUUCCUUUCUUAGGUUGACCUGAAAGAAGAAAAGAUGUACAUUGGUAAAUCUCUAGAAAUCAAUAAACAUCAUUUGUACUU
Pocillopora verrucosa is the source of this 1571-nucleotide non-coding RNA. NCBI's taxonomy places the organism in Eukaryota, Metazoa, Cnidaria, Anthozoa, Scleractinia, Pocilloporidae. The record is from RefSeq and is a predicted model, not a curated record.